AGUUAUAUGCUUGUCUCAAAGAUUAAGCCAUGCAUGUCUCAGUGCAAGCCGUAUUAAGGCGAUACCGCGAAUGGCUCAAUAUAUCAGUUUUGGUUCCUUAGAUCUUACUCAGUUACUUGGAUAACUGUGGUAAUUCUAGAGCUAAUACAUGCAAUCAGAACUCUGACCAGUGAUGGGAUGAGUGCUUUUAUUAGAUCAAAACCAAUCGACGGAGGGCCUCGCGUCCGAAGUCGUUAAUUUUGAUGAAUCUGGAUAACUUUUGCAGAUCGCAUGGUCCAGUACCGGCGACGCAUCUUUCAAAUGUCUGCCUUAUCAACUUUCGAUGGUAGUUUCUGCGACUACCAUGGUUGUCACGGGUAACGGGGAAUCAGGGUUCGAUUCCGGAGAGGGAGCCUGAGAAACGGCUACCACAUCCAAGGAAGGCAGCAGGCGCGCAAAUUACCCACUCCCGGCACGGGGAGGUAGUGACGAAAAAUAACGAUACGGGACUCUUACGAGGCCUCGUAAUCGGAAUGAGUACACUUUAAAUAUUUUAACGAGGAACAAUUGGAGGGCAAGUCUGGUGCCAGCAGCCGCGGUAAUUCCAGCUCCAAUAGCGUAUACUAAARUUGUUGCGGUUAAAAAGCUCGUAGUUGCAUUUGUGCGCCGCGCUGUCGGUGCACCGCAUCCGCGGUGAUACUGACACGUCUGCGGAGCAUAUCGUUCGGUGGUCCGGCGGUAAAACGUCGUAUCAAUAUCCAAUAUCCUAUCGCGGUGCUCUUCGGUGAGUGUCGAGAUGGGCCGACAAUUUUACUUUGAACAAAUUAGAGUGCUCAAAGCGGGCUCAAAAUGCCGCUUGAAUAUUUCGUGCAUGGAAUAAUAGAAUAUGAUCUCGGUUCUAUUUUGUUGGUUUUCAGAACUCCGAGGUAAUGAUUAAUAGGGAUAACUGGGGGCAUUCGUAUUGCGACGUUAGAGGUGAAAUUCUUGGAUCGUCGCAAGACGAACAUCAGCGAAAGCAUUUGCCAAAGGUGUUUUCAUCAAUCAAGAACGAAAGUUAGAGGUUCGAAGGCGAUUAGAUACCGCCCUAGUUCUAACCGUAAAUAUGUCAUCUAGCGAUCCGCCGACGUUACUACAAUGGCUCGGCGGGCAGCUUCCGGGAAACCAAAGAUUUUGGACUCCGGGGGGAGUAUGGUUGCAAAGCUGAAACUUAAAGGAAUUGACGGAAGGGCACCACCAGGAGUGGAGCCUGCGGCUUAAUUUGACUCAACACGGGAAAUCUCACCAGGCCCGGACACCGGAAGGAUUGACAGAUUAAUAGCUCUUUCUUGAUUCGGUGGGUGGUGGUGCAUGGCCGUUCUUAGUUGGUGGAGCGAUUUGUCUGGUUAAUUCCGGUAACGAACGAGACUCUAGCCUGCUAAAUAGGCGUCGUCAUUUAGGUGUGCGCGGCUCUGUCGCGCAACUCACUGGCGACGUAUUAAAAUUCUUCUUAGAGGGACCGGCGGCUUCGAGCCGCACGAGAUUGAGCAAUAACAGGUCUGUGAUGCCCUUAGAUGUCCUGGGCCGCACGCGCGCUACACUGAAGGAAUCAGCAUGUUCUCCCUGGCCUAGAGGCCCGGGCAACCCGUUGAAACUCCUUCGUGCUGGGGAUUGGGGUUUGCAAUUAUCCCCCAUAAACGAGGAAUUCCUAGUAAGCGCGAGUCAUAAGCUCGCGUUGAUUACGUCCCUGCCCUUUGUACACACCGCCCGUCGCUACUACCGAUUGAAUGAUUUAGUGAGGUCUUCGGACCGACACGCGGUGGCUUCACGGCCGUCGGCGUUGCUGGGAAGUUGACCAAAC
This 1816-nucleotide ribosomal RNA is filed under the name Pantoctenia prasina. RNAcentral describes it as "SSU rRNA". It matches the Rfam family "Eukaryotic small subunit ribosomal RNA". The record is from RNAcentral. Lineage: Eukaryota; Metazoa; Arthropoda; Insecta; Lepidoptera; Limacodidae.